This 468-nucleotide ribosomal RNA is filed under the name uncultured bacterium. RNAcentral describes it as "bacterial SSU rRNA". It matches the Rfam family "Bacterial small subunit ribosomal RNA", at positions 335 to 795 of the family's 1533-position model. The record is from RNAcentral.
ACUCCUACGGGAGGCAGCAGUGGGGAAUUUUGGACAAUGGGGGCAACCCUGAUCCAGCCAUUCCGCGUGAGUGAAGAAGGCCUUCGGGUUGUAAAGCUCUUUCGGCCGGGAAGAAAUCGUGCGGGCCAAUACCCUGUAUGGAUGACGGUACCGGAAGAAGAAGCACCGGCUAACUACGUGCCAGCAGCCGCGGUAAUACGUAGGGUGCGAGCGUUAAUCGGAAUUACUGGGCGUAAAGGGUGCGCAGGCGGUUUUGUAAGACAGGUGUGAAAUCCCCGGGCUUAACCUGGGAACUGCGCUUGUGACUGCAAGACUUGAGUGCGGCAGAGGGGGGUGGAAUUCCACGUGUAGCAGUGAAAUGCGUAGAGAUGUGGAGGAACACCGAUGGCGAAGGCAGCCCCCUGAGUCGACACUGACGCUCAUGCACGAAAGCGUGGGGAGCAAACAGGAUUAGAUACCCUGGUAGUC